AACAGGAUUAGAUACCCUGGUAGUCCACGCCGUAAACGAUGUCGAUUUGGAGGUUGUGCCCUUGAGGCGUGGCUUCCGGAGCUAACGCGUUAAAUCGACCGCCUGGGGAGUACGGCCGCAAGGUUAAAACUCAAAUGAAUUGACGGGGGCCCGCACAAGCGGUGGAGCAUGUGGUUUAAUUCGAUGCAACGCGAAGAACCUUACCUGGUCUUGACAUCCACAGAACUUUCCAGAGAUGGAUUGGUGCCUUCGGGAACUGUGAGACAGGUGCUGCAUGGCUGUCGUCAGCUCGUGUUGUGAAAUGUUGGGUUAAGUCCCGCAACGAGCGCAACCCUUAUCCUUUGUUGCCAGCGGUUCGGCCGGGAACUCAAAGGAGACUGCCAGUGAUAAACUGGAGGAAGGUGGGGAUGACGUCAAGUCAUCAUGGCCCUUACGACCAGGGCUACACACGUGCUACAAUGGCAUAUACAAAGAGAAGCGACCUCGCGAGAGCAAGCGGACCUCAUAAAGUAUGUCGUAGUCCGGAUUGGAGUCUGCAACUCGACUCCAUGAAGUCGGAAUCGCUAGUAAUCGUAGAUCAGAAUGCUACGGUGAAUACGUUCCCGGG
This 607-nucleotide ribosomal RNA is filed under the name Klebsiella pneumoniae. RNAcentral describes it as "bacterial SSU rRNA". It matches the Rfam family "Bacterial small subunit ribosomal RNA", at positions 771 to 1378 of the family's 1533-position model. Lineage: Bacteria; Pseudomonadati; Pseudomonadota; Gammaproteobacteria; Enterobacterales; Enterobacteriaceae. The record is from RNAcentral.